AUCCUCCCACCUCAGCCUCCCAAGCAGCUGGGACUACAGGAAAAUUGAUGCAGGCUGGUGUCCAAUGAAGAAGUCCCAGGUGCCUAGGAAGGAGAGGACUGUGCGCGAGCUGCAAAAGGGAGCGCGUGGACCACCAGGUGGCGCUGCUGCGCCGCUCCUGCUCCCAGGAGGUGGACGCCCAGGAUGGGCUCUCAGGUGGAGAGGGGGAUGUCAUUGCUCAUCCUCCAGCUUCCAAGUAGAAACCUCCCUGCCCAGCCCAUCUCGUUCUCCCUGAAUCCUCAACACUAACGAGGACUGUCUCCUUCUCACCUCCCUGGACUGGACUUUCUAUCACUGGAAAGUGCAUGUGAUUUCUAGUUUCAGCAUGUCCUGGCUUAUUGUGCUGCCAGGAAAAUAAAAUCAAAAUACACGUUGAAUAAAUAACAAAUAACACAUAG
Molecule: long non-coding RNA, 437 nt
Organism: Sapajus apella (tufted capuchin)
Lineage: Eukaryota; Metazoa; Chordata; Mammalia; Primates; Cebidae
Exons: 2
Source: RefSeq, a predicted model, not a curated record